CAAAAGUUAAACACUUGGGGAACGGACUCGCCUUUCGGGGCUCGAGGCCUGACUCCAUUUGUAACAAACUUUCAACCACUUGUGAAUUUGUAACAAAUUUUCUCACCAAUUGACUGUUAACGAAGUCUGAUUCAAAUUGCAUUGGUGUUUUAUAGACACUAGUAAAAUAUGAAAA
Molecule: unclassified non-coding RNA, 175 nt
Filed under: soil metagenome
Description: partial internal transcribed spacer 1
Source: RNAcentral